GCCUUCUUAGCUCAGCUGGCAGAGCGUAUCCCUCGUAGUUGGUGAGCAAUCGCCGCUGGUAGGAUAAGGUCGUCGGUCCGAUUCCGGCAGAAGGCA
This is a non-coding RNA of Zopfochytrium polystomum, 96 nucleotides long. Lineage: Eukaryota; Fungi; Chytridiomycota; Chytridiomycetes; Chytridiales; Chytridiaceae. The record is from the annotation of a GenBank genome assembly.